AAAACUGGGAUGAGAAUCCCCAUUAGAGAGGAGAAAGACUAGCUGGCUGUGGCUCUGUGGAUGCUGUAAUUCUAAGUGACAUUCUGGCCUCCCUGACACAGAGUUGACAAAUGACAAGCUGGCAACACUGGAAACAGAUUUCCCAUUGAUCCACAAAACAGCUCUACAACGUCUGCAAGCAAAUGGAAAUGUAACAAGCU
This 200-nucleotide long non-coding RNA is filed under the name Coturnix japonica (Japanese quail). Its description in RNAcentral is "lncRNA (ENSCJPG00005008732.1)". Lineage: Eukaryota; Metazoa; Chordata; Aves; Galliformes; Phasianidae. The record is from RNAcentral.